AUGGCGGUGAGCUCCAAGAACACCCACCACUCGCCGGCGGUCGUCUUCCUCCUCGGGGCCAUCUCGGCCACCGCGGUGCUCGUCUUCUUCUUCACCGCCACCGCGGGACCCGCAUGGCCCGCGGCGACCACGGAGCUCUCUCCUCGGAGGAGCCAGGAGGCGGCCCGGUCGGCUCCAGCGCCGACGCCCAAGGCCUCUUCUACCACCAAUGCGACGGGCGGCGACGACGCGUUCGCGCGGAUGCUGCGGCGGGCGGCGAUGGAGGACCGGACGGUGAUCAUGACGUCGGUGAACGAGGCGUGGGCGGCGGAGGGGUCGCUGCUGGACUCGUUCCUCGAGAGCUUCCGCGUGGGGCUCAACAUCUCGCACCUGGUGAAGCACAUCGUGGUGGUGGCCAUGGACGAGGGCGCGCUCCGCCGGUGCCGCGCCGUGCACCCGCACUGCCACCUGCUGCUCCCGGACGUCGACGGCCUCGACCUCUCCGGCGCCAAGAGCUACAUGACCAAGGACUACCUCGACCUCGUCUGGAGCAAGCUCCGGCUCCAGCAUCGCGUCCUCCUCCUCGGCUACAACCUCCUCUUCACGGCACGUCGUCUCGUCGCCAAUGCCUGUAGUAAAAGGAGCCGGAGGGAGUACAUGCCAUCUGUGCCAACUUCCAACGAGCGAAAAAUGUCAAGUGGAAGAAACCGUUAUAUGGGCCUAUCAAGUGUUUGA
This 714-nucleotide ribosomal RNA is filed under the name Triticum aestivum (bread wheat). RNAcentral's name for it is "partial small subunit ribosomal RNA". The record is from RNAcentral. Lineage: Eukaryota; Viridiplantae; Streptophyta; Magnoliopsida; Poales; Poaceae.